UGGAGUUCUAGUGUAAUUAAUCCACAUUUUAAAUGAGGAAUUUUGCUAUUAUGUUUCUUUCACUGAACUUUAUUAUAUACUUGAUAGAAAAAUUAAACAAAGCGUGGGACCAGCUUUCAUUUAAAGGGGCACUAGCUGUCAAAUUCAUGGUCACAGAUUUGACUCAAAUUCUCAUAUUUGAUUUAUAACAAUGUAAAACAUUUAUCAAAACUAUCAAAAGUCUAAAAUAAACAGUUUACAGAGCAUGGGGUAGAUAAUAUAUAGGUUCGUUUCAUGUGUAUUUUAGUCCAGAUGCCAUCUAAUUAACUAUCGAUUUGACCUCAGAUGACCAUAUAAGCGAUGUAAACAUAAAUAAAGAUAUGAAUAGAUUAAACCAACA
RNAcentral lists this long non-coding RNA (379 nucleotides) under Mytilus galloprovincialis (Mediterranean mussel). The record is from RNAcentral. Lineage: Eukaryota; Metazoa; Mollusca; Bivalvia; Mytilida; Mytilidae.